Molecule: ribosomal RNA, 507 nt
Filed under: uncultured bacterium
Lineage: Bacteria
Description: bacterial SSU rRNA
Rfam family: Bacterial small subunit ribosomal RNA
Source: RNAcentral
CCUGGCUUAGGAUGAACGCUAGCGACAGGCCUAACACAUGCAAGUCGAGGGGCAGCACAAGGAGCAAUCUGAGGUGGCGACCGGCGCACGGGUGAGUAACACGUAUGCAACCUGCCUGUAAGCGGGGAAUAACCCGUUGAAAGACGGACUAAUACCGCAUAAUACUAAAUUACUGCAUGGUAAUUUAUUUAAACAUUUAUGGCUUACAGAUGGGCAUGCGCAUGAUUAGCUAGUUGGAGAGGUAACGGCUCCCCAAGGCAACGAUCAUUAGGGGUUCUGAGAGGAAGGUCCCCCACACUGGUACUGAGACACGGACCAGACUCCUACGGGAGGCAGCAGUGAGGAAUAUUGGUCAAUGGACGAGAGUCUGAACCAGCCAAGUCGCGUGCAGGAAGAAUGUUCCCUAUGGAUUGUAAACUGCUUUUGCAGGGGAAUAAAGUGCAUCACGUGUGAUGUUUUGUAUGUACUCUGCGAAUAAGGAUCGGCUAACUCCGUGCCAGCAGCCGC